AGGGGUAUCGCCAAGCGGUAAGGCAUCAGAUUUUGAUUCUGACACUCGUUGGUUCGAAUCCAGCUACCCCUGCCA
RNAcentral lists this transfer RNA (75 nucleotides) under Clostridia bacterium. RNAcentral's name for it is "tRNA-Gln". It matches the Rfam family "tRNA". Rfam says of the family: Transfer RNA (tRNA) molecules are approximately 80 nucleotides in length. Their secondary structure includes four short double-helical elements and three loops (D, anti-codon, and T loops). The record is from RNAcentral. Lineage: Bacteria; Bacillati; Bacillota; Clostridia.